Molecule: transfer RNA, 75 nt
Filed under: Candidatus Yanofskybacteria bacterium RIFCSPHIGHO2_01_FULL_44_24
Lineage: Bacteria; Candidatus Yanofskyibacteriota
Also listed under: 2 other names
Description: tRNA-Glu
Rfam family: tRNA
About the family: Transfer RNA (tRNA) molecules are approximately 80 nucleotides in length. Their secondary structure includes four short double-helical elements and three loops (D, anti-codon, and T loops).
Source: RNAcentral
GGCCCUAUCGUCUAACGGUUAGGACACAUCCUUUUCAAGGAUGGAAUCGGGGUUCGAUUCCCCGUGGGGCUGCCA